Molecule: non-coding RNA, 270 nt
Organism: Biomphalaria pfeifferi
Lineage: Eukaryota; Metazoa; Mollusca; Gastropoda; Planorbidae
Source: the annotation of a GenBank genome assembly
UGCAGGACAGAGCCUUGAACUUAAUGCAGCACAAUGUCAGAGAAAUGUCAUGCGGACACAAAGUGUACUUAUCUUCAUUUACCUAAAGAAAUGCUUUUUUUACUAUUUGAUUUACUUUCUCAAUUGGAAAGGUGAUUAACAUCUAGAUUGACAUUGACAUCUAGAUUGACAUUCUGAUUUGUCAAUUAUAAGUUGAAUGUCAGCAUAAAUAAUAAUAUUUAAUUGGAAAAUUUGAUAAAACAAGAUUUUUUUUUCAUUGGUGUGAUAAAA